GGUACGCGCGCGUGCGCAGGAGCCGCGCAUCCCGCGUCCGCCCCGGAGGGUCUCCUGCGCAGUGUGGACGUCGCCGCCGCCGCGCGCUCCCCGGCGCGGGAGGAAAGAGGCUGGCGCGGGGUCCCGGGAGCCCGAGUCCCGGCGGUCCUCUCCGGCCGCACAGCCGGGCUCCGCGCUGCGGGCAGACGGGCAGCGUCCCCGGACACCGCGGCCACGCUCCCUUCUCAGCGAUUCCGUCUGGGCGGCCGGAUGGGAGGAGAGGGCAGAUGCAGAAACUGAGGCACUGAGAGUGCCAGCAGUGGCUGGUGGUGGGAAUGUCCCCAAGGCAGAGGUGAAUCAAGAUUCUUUCAUGAUGAGAGCUCCAUUGAAAGAAAGAAGAUGCACUGAGUAAGGAAACCAACAUUGAACACCUGCUCUGCCAGUGUGCUGCAUUCUCCGGCUUGCAUGUAGGCUCUUCUUGGACCAGCACAGAACUAAGUGUAAAAAGACUCAAGUUCUAGUUCAAGUUCUGUCACUGACAAGCUAUGUGAUCUUAGGUAGUUCACUUAACAUUCUUGUUUUUAGUUCCUAAUACAAAAAAAUGAGAAAUUUGGUUUCCACUGAAAAACCUUCCCUAAUAGAAAAAGCUUAUGAUUUUACUAUAAAAUGUCUUGCCUGUCAGACCACCUUCACCCUCCAUCACCUGCUCAUCAGCGUGCUUUCUUUCUCCAGUUUGUUUUCCUACCUUCUGGCCUUCGUUGUUUCUGGUUACCUCUCUCCGUCCCAUCCCCGCCUUCACCAGUGGCUUAGCCCCAGUUGCAACAGGUAAACUACUCGAGGGUGGAGUAAUAUUUGCAUAGAAUCUGCAGAUUAAUAAAUUAUUAUCAUUAUCAUAGUAAUAAUUACACCUUUGUUUUCACCCUGAUCCGAUCUUUUUUUUUUUUUUUUUUUUUGCGGUACGCGGGCCUCUCACUGCUGUGGUCUCUCCCGCUGCGGAGCACAGGCUCCGGACGCGCAGGCUCAGCGGCCACGGCUCACGGGCCCAGCCGCUCCGCGGCAUGUGGGAUCUUCCCGGACCGGGUCACGAACCCGUGUCCCCUGCAUCGGCAGGCGGACUCCCAACCACUGCGCCACCAGGGAAGCCCUCACCCUGACCUUUGAGCUCAAAUUAAUCCUGCCCUA
Molecule: long non-coding RNA, 1161 nt
Organism: Physeter macrocephalus (sperm whale)
Lineage: Eukaryota; Metazoa; Chordata; Mammalia; Artiodactyla; Physeteridae
Exons: 3
Source: RefSeq, a predicted model, not a curated record